Molecule: ribosomal RNA, 403 nt
Filed under: uncultured bacterium
Lineage: Bacteria
Description: partial 16S ribosomal RNA
Rfam family: Bacterial small subunit ribosomal RNA
Source: RNAcentral
GACGAACGCUGGCGGCGUGCCUAAUACAUGCAAGUCGAACGCAGUGGGGACGGGUGAGUAACACGUGGGUCACCUCCCAUGAGAGGGGAUAACACGAGGAAACAGGUGCUAAACCGAAACCGAUGGAUGGACCCGCGGUGAAUUAGCUAGUUGGGGGGGUAACGGCUCACCAAGGCCAAGAUGCAUAGCCGACCUGAGAGGGUGAUCGGCCACACUGGGACUGAGACACGGCCCAGACUCCUACGGGAGGCAGCAGUAGGGAAUCUUCGGCAAUGGACGAAAGUCUGACCGAGCAACGCCGCGUGAGUGAAGAAGGUUUUCGGAGCGUAAAACUCUGUUGUUAGAGAAGCGGUAUCUAACCAGAAAGCCACGGCUAACUACGUGCCAGCCGCCGCGGUAAUAC